RNAcentral lists this ribosomal RNA (450 nucleotides) under uncultured Glomeromycotina. RNAcentral describes it as "SSU rRNA". It matches the Rfam family "Eukaryotic small subunit ribosomal RNA", at positions 569 to 1016 of the family's 1831-position model. The record is from RNAcentral. Lineage: Eukaryota; Fungi; Glomeromycota.
CGCAGCCGCGGUAAUUCCAGCUCCAAUAGCGUAUAUUAAAGUUGUUGCAGUUAAAAAGCUCGUAGUUGAAUUUCGGGAUUGGCGCAUCGGUCGUGCCUUACGGGGUAUGAACUGGUGCAGUCAAUUUCUCACCUUCUGGAGAACCGCGAUGUCCUUAAUUGGGUGCCGCGGGGAACCAGGACCUUUACUUUGAAAAAAUUAGAGUGUUUAAAGCAGGCAUUUUUGCUUGAAUACAUUAGCAUGGAAUAAUAAAAUAGGACGGCAUGGUUCUAUUUUGUUGGUUUCUAGGACCACCGUAAUGAUUAAUAGGGAUAGUUGGGGGCAUUAGUAUUCAAUUGUCAGAGGUGAAAUUCUUGGAUUUAUUGAAGACUAACUACUGCGAAAGCAUUUGCCAAGGAUGUUUUCAUUAAUCAAGAACGAAAGUUAGGGGAUCGGAGACGAUCAGAUACC